Molecule: ribosomal RNA, 558 nt
Filed under: uncultured bacterium
Lineage: Bacteria
Description: bacterial SSU rRNA
Rfam family: Bacterial small subunit ribosomal RNA
Source: RNAcentral
AUGCAAGUCGAACGGUAACAUGACUAGCUUGCUAGUUGAUGACGAGUGGCGGACGGGUGAGUAACGCGUAGGAAUCUACCCAGUAGCGGGGGAUAAGCCAGAGAAAUUUGGUCUAAUACCGCAUACGCCCUUCGGGGGAAAGCAGGGGAUCUUCGGACCUUGCACUAUAGGAUGAGCCUGCGUGAGAUUAGCUUGUUGGUGAGGUAAUGGCUCACCAAGGCGACGAUCUCUAGCUGGUCUGAGAGGAUGAUCAGCCACACUGGAACUGAGACACGGUCCAGACUCCUACGGGAGGCAGCAGUGGGGAAUAUUGCACAAUGGGCGCAAGCCUGAUGCAGCCAUGCCGCGUGUGUGAAGAAGGCCCUAGGGUCGUAAAGCACUUUCAGCAGUGAGGAAAGGUUAGUAGUUAAUACCUGCUAGCUGUGACGUUAACUGCAGAAGAAGCACCGGCUAACUCCGUGCCAGCAGCCGCGGUAAUACGGAGGGUGCGAGCGUUAAUCGGAAUUACUGGGCGUAAAGCGCGCGUAGGUGGAUUGGUCAGUCAGAUGUGAAAGCCCA